Molecule: transfer RNA, 83 nt
Filed under: Neorickettsia helminthoeca str. Oregon
Lineage: Bacteria; Pseudomonadati; Pseudomonadota; Alphaproteobacteria; Rickettsiales; Anaplasmataceae
Description: tRNA-Leu (CAA) (tRNA-Leu-CAA-1-1)
Rfam family: tRNA
About the family: Transfer RNA (tRNA) molecules are approximately 80 nucleotides in length. Their secondary structure includes four short double-helical elements and three loops (D, anti-codon, and T loops). Further hydrogen bonds mediate the characteristic L-shaped molecular structure. tRNAs have two regions of fundamental functional importance: the anti-codon, which is responsible for specific mRNA codon recognition, and the 3' end, to which the tRNAs corresponding amino acid is attached (by aminoacyl-tRNA synthetases). tRNAs cope with the degeneracy of the genetic code in two manners: having more than one tRNA (with a specific anti-codon) for a particular amino acid; and 'wobble' base-pairing, i.e. permitting non-standard base-pairing at the 3rd anti-codon position.
Source: Rfam by way of RNAcentral
GCCCUUGUGGCGGAAUGGUAGACGCGGCAGACUCAAAAUCUGCUGUCCUUGCGGAUGUGCUGGUUCGAAUCCAGUCAAGGGUA